GCUUCCUUGGCUCAGUUGGAAGAGCGUCAGUCUCAUAAUAUGCGUGAUCUUGUGUCAUUUCAUCUGAAGGUCGUGAGUUCGAGCCUCACAGGGAGCA
Molecule: non-coding RNA, 97 nt
Organism: Mycena galopus ATCC 62051
Lineage: Eukaryota; Fungi; Basidiomycota; Agaricomycetes; Agaricales; Mycenaceae
Source: the annotation of a GenBank genome assembly